RNAcentral lists this ribosomal RNA (537 nucleotides) under uncultured bacterium. Its description in RNAcentral is "bacterial SSU rRNA". It matches the Rfam family "Bacterial small subunit ribosomal RNA", at positions 102 to 674 of the family's 1533-position model. The record is from RNAcentral.
ACGGGUGAGUAACGCGUGGGAACGUGCCUUCUGGUUCGGAAUAACUCAGGGAAACUUGAGCUAAUACCGGAUACGCCCUUUUGGGGAAAGGUUUACUGCCGGAAGAUCGGCCCGCGUCUGAUUAGCUAGUUGGUGGGGUAACGGCCUACCAAGGCGACGAUCAGUAGCUGGUCUGAGAGGAUGAUCAGCCACACUGGGACUGAGACACGGCCCAGACUCCUACGGGAGGCAGCAGUGGGGAAUAUUGGACAAUGGGCGCAAGCCUGAUCCAGCCAUGCCGCGUGAGUGAUGAAGGCCUUAGGGUUGUAAAGCUCUUUUAUCCGGGACGUUAAUGACGGUACCGGAGGAAUAAGCCCCGGCUAACUUCGUGCCAGCAGCCGCGGUAAUACGAAGGGGGCUAGCGUUGCUCGGAAUCACUGGGCGUAAAGGGCGCGUAGGCGGUCUUUUAAGUCGGGGGUGAAAGCCUGUGGCUCAACCACAGAAUUGCCUUCGAUACUGGGAGACUUGAGUUCGGAAGAGGUUGGUGGAACUGCGAGU